This 454-nucleotide ribosomal RNA is filed under the name uncultured eukaryote. RNAcentral describes it as "LSU rRNA". The stretch from base 113 to 454 matches the Rfam family "Eukaryotic large subunit ribosomal RNA", at positions 675 to 1008 of the family's 3401-position model. The record is from RNAcentral.
CGGCCGCGUCGACUAGAGUGCCUGAAGAACUAUGGAAUGAGGUUCGUGACACUGUGUAGGAAACAGGGAUCAAGACCAUCCCUACGAAAAGAAAUAGCAAAAAGCAAAAUGGCUGUCUGGGAGGCCUUACAAAUAGCUGUGAAAAGAAGAGAAGCGAAAAGCAAAGGAGAAAAGGAAAGAUAUAAACAUCUUUCACGAGAGGCACCGACGCCCGCCGCUGAAGUUUACGGACGCUGGUGAGGUAGAGCAUGUAAGAUGGGACCCGAAAGAUGGUGAACUAUGCCUGCAUAGGGUGAAGCCAGGGGAAACUCUGGUGGAGGCUCGUAGCGAUUCUGACGUGCAAAUCGAUCGUCAAAUGUGGGUAUAGGGGCGAAAGACUAAUCGAACCAUCUAAUGGCUGGUUCCUGCCGAAGUUUCCCUCAGGAUAGCAGAAAUUCGUAUCAGUUGUAUGUGG